Molecule: RNase P RNA, 356 nt
Filed under: Gammaproteobacteria bacterium
Lineage: Bacteria; Pseudomonadati; Pseudomonadota; Gammaproteobacteria
Description: RNase P RNA component class A
Rfam family: Bacterial RNase P class A
About the family: Ribonuclease P (RNase P) is a ubiquitous endoribonuclease, found in archaea, bacteria and eukarya as well as chloroplasts and mitochondria. Its best characterised activity is the generation of mature 5'-ends of tRNAs by cleaving the 5'-leader elements of precursor-tRNAs.
Source: RNAcentral
AGAGUCGGCCGGGCAGCCGCUCUUCAGUCCUUAAACAGACUGGGGGGAGGAAAGUCCGGGCUCCAUAGGACAGGGUGCCAGGUAACGCCUGGGCGGCGCGAGCCGACGGAAAGUGCCACAGAAAAUAUACCGCCUCCUUUGUUUUGGGGGUAAGGGUGAAAUGGUGCGGUAAGAGCGCACCGCGCCUGUGGCAACACAGGUGGCAGGGUAAACCCCACCCGGAGCAAGACCAAAUAGGAACCCCAUUAGGUGUGGUCCGCACUGGGUUCGGGUAGGUUGCUUGAGGCGUCUGGUGACGGACGUCCCAGAUGAAUGGUUGUCCACGACAGAACCCGGCUUACAGGCCGACUCUCACC